This 986-nucleotide long non-coding RNA is filed under the name Capsicum annuum. Its description in RNAcentral is "long non-coding RNA (CANN_LNC014386)". The record is from RNAcentral. Lineage: Eukaryota; Viridiplantae; Streptophyta; Magnoliopsida; Solanales; Solanaceae.
GUCUCUAGAGGGAGGAACAUUUGAGCUCCCUUGAUGAAUUUUGCAUGCCAUGAGUGAUGAGCUAUUUGCAUUCAUCUCUCGUAUACUUAUGUUAUCUACAACUUUCCUCGUUAGUCUUUCAAAACUAAUGUUGAUUGUAUUUGGUUGGAGAAAUAAUGUUAGGCCAUCUUUUGGCAUUGAAAGCCCACUCCAGCCUUUAAAGCCUACCCGUGCAUAAAAGUAAUCUCUAGUUACCCAUUUUUCACCUUUGGACUUUUCUUUGGCAAACACAUUACAAGCUGUGAACCAUUCUUUUUAUCCCUCUUUUGAACUAUAUCCUUUUUGACCUUGAAAAUGCAACUCGAGGCAAAAAGCCUAAGUUGGGGGUGGUGAAGAUCAAUGGAAGUAAGUUUGGGGCCAUGAAGUUGUAAGUGAAAUGCCUGAGUUCCUAAGCGUUGAAAAUAAAUGAAUAGAAAAAGAAAGGGUUCAACAAAGUAUAGAAUUGCAUGAAAAUUGCUAGUAAAAGAAAUAGAAGAAAAUGGGUGAACAAAGGAAGCAAAAAUGUAGGCAUAUGAAAAGUGAGAGAACAAAGAAGAGUGGUCCAUAGUCAAAAAGUUGAAUUAAAUAGUGUGAUGUAGAUGUUCAAGGAAAGGUGUUGCCAUGUUUUUCUCAAAUGAUAUCCUACCCUAACCCAAACCUAUGUUACAAGCUUAAAAAGUCCUUUGAGAUCUUCAACAAUUUACUUUCUUUGUAGUGGCAAUUGAAAAUAGGGGUAAGCCUAUGGUAUGACACUUGUUGCAUAGAGAUUUAUUUUAUGAGGGAGAGAGUUUUUGCUCUUAAAGUUCCUUGUUGAAUAUUUUAUGGCUUGGUGUGGAAUUCUCUUUCUUGUGAGGUUAGCAUGUGAACAAGUUGAGGUGGGUGAUUUUGUCACCUCCCGAGCAAUGAGUCAAAUAGAGUAUAGCUUACUUAUGGUAAAAAGGGAGUUAAUUCUAGAGUAUUGGUUUUUU